CGGGGGCUGAAUGAGAUGGAGCGAGGAGACAGUGCUUCAAAUCGGUAAUGCCGCCUUCUUUUCUCUUUUAGCUGUUAUCGAACUCGAUUUGGUAGUGACCGUAGCUUACACUGUCGCUGCCCGCCAUUGAGAAAACAGGGGAGGUUCCGGUUCUGACAAAACAGGGGAAGUGCAGGUGGACAGGGACCUACUUAAGGAAGAGAAGAAGAAGCUGGAGUAUCUGAUUGCUGAUCUGCUAAAAGCUGGGCAUUGCACCAAAGAUAAGCUGGAGAGGAUCAAGGCAAUAGUGGAUGAGUGAAGUUCUUUAUGUGCGUGUUAAGUAUUAGGCCUAUAUAUAUAGCUGGCCUUGAAAUGUCCUGCAUGGUAGGUGUAUAUUUUGGGGAAGUGUCAUGUGGUUUCAGAACCUAUGCUAUCUCGGACAUGUAAUGACUUCUAUGUUAAGAUUCAGUAACUUAACUGAAUUUUGGACAGUUUAUCUAAAA
RNAcentral lists this long non-coding RNA (482 nucleotides) under Hordeum vulgare. RNAcentral describes it as "long non-coding RNA (HVUL_LNC016742)". Lineage: Eukaryota; Viridiplantae; Streptophyta; Magnoliopsida; Poales; Poaceae. The record is from RNAcentral.